Molecule: ribosomal RNA, 609 nt
Filed under: Ambassis octava
Lineage: Eukaryota; Metazoa; Chordata; Actinopteri; Ambassidae
Description: partial large subunit ribosomal RNA
Rfam family: Bacterial large subunit ribosomal RNA
Source: RNAcentral
GGCAAACAAAAGCCUCGCCUGUUUACCAAAAACAUCGCCUCUUGCCUUACUAGUAUAAGAGGUCCCGCCUGCCCUGUGACUAUAUGUUUAACGGCCGCGGUACCCUAACCGUGCGAAGGUAGCGCAAUCACUUGUCUUUUAAAUGAAGACCUGUAUGAAUGGCACCACGAGGGCUUAACUGUCUCCUUUUUCCAGUCAAUGAAAUUGAUCUCCCCGUGCAGAAGCGGGGAUAAAAACAUAAGACGAGAAGACCCUGUGAAGCUUUAAGACGAUGGCCAGCCCAAUCUAAUGACCCCCGCUAAAAGGACUAAAGCACAGGGCCCUGUCCUUAUGUCUUUGGUUGGGGCGACCACGGAGAAACAAAAAACCCCCCUGUGGAUUAGGAGCACACCACUCUUAUCCCUCCUGCAAUUAAGAGCCACAGCUCAAAACAGCAAAACCUUUGACCAAACAUGAUCCGGCAACGCCGAUCAACGGACCAAGUUACUCCAGGGAUAACAGCGCAAUCCCCUUCUAGAGUUCAUAUCGACAAGGGGGUUUACGACCUCGAUGUUGGAUCAGGACAUCCUAAUGGUGCAGCCGCUAUUAAGGGUUCGUUUGUUCAACGAU